Molecule: ribosomal RNA, 441 nt
Filed under: uncultured bacterium
Lineage: Bacteria
Description: partial 16S ribosomal RNA
Rfam family: Bacterial small subunit ribosomal RNA
Source: RNAcentral
CCUACGGGGGGCAGCAGUGGGGAAUAUUGCGCAAUGGAGGAAACCCUGACGCAGCGACGCCGCGUGAGGGAUGAAGGUUUUCGGAUUGUAAACCUCUGUCGCCAGGGACGAAGAAUCACGGUACCUCGCAAGAAAGCCCCGGCUAACUACGUGCCAGCAGCAGCGGUAAUACGCAGGGGGCAAGCGUUGGCAGGAAGGACUGGGCGUAAGGGGAGUGUAGGCGGCACGUGUAGCUAUAUGUGAAAUCCCGGGGCUCAACCGGGGAAGGGCAUCUGAAACUGGGGAGCUGGAGUGCAGGAGAGGUGAGUGGAAUUCCUAGUGUAGCGGUGAAAUGCGUAGAUAUUAGGAAGAACACCAGUGGCGAAGGCGGCUCACUGGACUGUAACUGACGCUGAGGCUCGAAAGCGUGGGGAGCAAACAGGAUUAGAUACCCUUGUAGUC